AUCCAACUUAAAAGUCCCAAACAAGACGAAACGCUCGUCUUGAAU
Molecule: non-coding RNA, 45 nt
Organism: Schistosoma haematobium
Lineage: Eukaryota; Metazoa; Platyhelminthes; Trematoda; Strigeidida; Schistosomatidae
Source: Rfam